UGGUGGAGUGAUUUGUCUGGUUAAUUCCGAUAACGAGCGAGACCUCAGCGUACUAAUUAGUUGUCAAAAUUCUUGGAUUUUGUUUACAGCUUCUUAGAGGGACUAUCGGUGUAUAGCCGAAGGAAGUUUGAGGCAAUAACA
This 141-nucleotide ribosomal RNA is filed under the name uncultured eukaryote. RNAcentral's name for it is "partial 18S ribosomal RNA". It matches the Rfam family "Eukaryotic small subunit ribosomal RNA", at positions 1299 to 1458 of the family's 1831-position model. The record is from RNAcentral.